This 497-nucleotide ribosomal RNA is filed under the name uncultured bacterium. RNAcentral's name for it is "bacterial SSU rRNA". It matches the Rfam family "Bacterial small subunit ribosomal RNA", at positions 67 to 551 of the family's 1533-position model. The record is from RNAcentral.
CUCUCACCCUGCCCUUUCUCGAAGAGCGAGGGUGCGGUGAGGGACGGGGGAAGUGGCGAAAGGGGCAGUAAUGCGUGGGUAACCUACCCUGGGGACGGGGACAGCCUUCCUAACGGAAGGGUAAUACCUGGCGAUUCGGCGAGAGGACAUCCUCAUGCCGGGAAAUGAAUUUCGCCUCGGGAGGGGCUCACGUGAUAUUAGCUAGUUGGUGAGGUAACGGCUCACCAAGGCGAAGAUGUCUAGCGGGUGUGAGAGCACGACCCGCGCCACUGGCACUGAGACACUGGCCAGACACCUACGGGUGGCUGCAGUCGAGGAUCUUUGGCAAUGGGCGCAAGCCUGACCAAGCGACGCCGAGUGUGCGAUGAAGGCCUUCGGGUUGUAAAGCACUGUCGAGGGGGAGGAAGCCGCAAGGUUGACCUAUCCCUGGAGGAAGCACGGGCUAAGUUCGUGCCAGCAGCCGCGGUAAGACGAACCGUGCGAACGUUGUUCGGAAU